GUUGUAUGGUUAAGUGACUAAGCGUACACGGUGGAUGCCUUGGCAGUCAGAGGCGAUGAAGGACGUAUUAACUUGCGAUAAGCCCAGAUUAGGCAGUAAAAGCCACUUGAGUCUGGGAUUUCCGAAUGGGGAAACCCAACUGCAUAAGCAGUUACUGUUAACUGAAUACAUAGGUUAACAGGGCGAACCGGGGGAACUGAAACAUCUAAGUACCCCGAGGAAAAGAAAUCAACCGAGAUUCCGAAAGUAGCGGCGAGCGAAAUUGGACUAGCCCUUAAGCUUUACACGCGUUAGACGAACGGUCUGGAAAGUCCGACGAUACAGGGUGAUAGUCCCGUAGUUGACGACGUGUGUUCAGUGAAAUCGAGUAGGGCGGGACACGUGAUAUCCUGUCUGAAUAUGGGGGGACCAUCCUCCAAGGCUAAAUACUACUGACUGACCGAUAGUGAACCAGUACCGUGAGGGAAAGGCGAAAAGAACCCCUGUGAGGGGAGUGAAAUAGAACCUGAAACCGUGUACGUACAAGCAGUAGGAGCAGGCUUUGUCCUGUGACUGCGUACCUUUUGUAUAAUGGGUCAGCGACUUAUAUUCAGUGGCAAGGUUAACCAUCUAGGGGAGCCGUAGGGAAACCGAGUCUUAACUGGGCGUUCAGUCUCUGGAUAUAGACCCGAAACCAGGUGAUCUAGCCAUGGGCAGGUUGAAGGUUGAGUAACAUCAACUGGAGGACCGAACCGACUAAUGUUGAAAAAUUAGCGGAUGACUUGUGGCUAGGGGUGAAAGGCCAAUCAAACCUGGAGAUAGCUGGUUCUCCCCGAAAGCUAUUUAGGUAGCGCCUCGGACGAAUACUACUGGGGGUAGAGCACUGUUAAGGCUAGGGGGUCAUCCCGACUUACCAACCCUUUGCAAACUCCGAAUACCAGUAAGUACUAUCCGGGAGACACACGGCGGGUGCUAACGUCCGUCGUGGAGAGGGAAACAACCCAGACCGCCAGCUAAGGUCCCAAAUUACUACUAAGUGGGAAACGAUGUGGGAAGGCUCAGACAGCCAGGAUGUUGGCUUAGAAGCAGCCAUCAUUUAAAGAAAGCGUAAUAGCUCACUGGUCGAGUCGGCCUGCGCGGAAGAUGUAACGGGGCUAAGUAGUAAACCGAAGCUGCGGCAAUGUGCUUU
RNAcentral lists this ribosomal RNA (1168 nucleotides) under Vibrio parahaemolyticus. Its description in RNAcentral is "partial 23S ribosomal RNA". It matches the Rfam family "Bacterial large subunit ribosomal RNA", at positions 1 to 1216 of the family's 2925-position model. Lineage: Bacteria; Pseudomonadati; Pseudomonadota; Gammaproteobacteria; Vibrionales; Vibrionaceae. The record is from RNAcentral.